AAUUUGAAAUCUGGUACCUUUGGGUGCCCGAGUUGUAAUUNGGAGAGGCAACUUCGAAGGAGGCGCUGGCNUAAGUUCCUUGGAACAGGACGUCACAGAGGGUGAGAAUCCCGUGCUUGGCUGGCUGUCCUCCUUCAUGUGAAGUGUCUUCGACGAGUCGAGUUGUUUGGGAAUGCAGCUCAAAAUGGGUGGUAAACUCCAUCUAAGGCUAAAUAUUGGCGAGAGACCGAUAGCGCACAAGUAGAGUGAUCGAAAGAUGAAAAGCACUUUGAAAAGAGAGUUAAACAGUACGUGAAAUUGUUGAAAGGGAAGCGCUUGAGACCAGACUCGGUGAUUGGUGAUCAGCGGUUGCUUUUGCUCCGUGCACUUGCCUUUUACCGGGCCAGCAUCAGUUGUAACGGUGGGAUAAAGACUCAGGGAAUGUGGCUCUCUUCGGGAAGUGUUAUAGCCCUGGGUGUAAUGCCACCUGUUGCGACUGAGGACCGCGCUUCGGCUAGGAUGCUGGCAUAAUGGUCUUCAGCGACCCGUCUUGAAACACGGACCAAGGAGUCUAACAUCUAUGCGAGUGUUCGGGUGUAAAACCCCUACGCGUAAUGAAAGUGAACGGAGGUGGGAACUCUUCGGAGUGCACCAUCGACYGAUCCUGAUGUCUUCGGAUGGAUUUGAGUAGGAGCAUAGCUGUUGGGACCCGAAAGAUGGUGAACUAUGCCUGAAUAGGGUGAAGCCAGAGGAAACUCUGGUGGAGGCUCGCAGCGGUUCUGACGUGCAAAUCGAUCGUCAAAUUUGG
RNAcentral lists this ribosomal RNA (787 nucleotides) under Plectania harnischii. RNAcentral describes it as "partial large subunit ribosomal RNA". The record is from RNAcentral. Lineage: Eukaryota; Fungi; Ascomycota; Pezizomycetes; Pezizales; Sarcosomataceae.